AGUUUGUAAAGUGGUGCAGAGCCCUGUGUGCAGCUGAAUCUUAAAUCGCACAGAGCUUGGAUCUGUUCACUAGCAAAUAAUUGCUGCAAGGACUGCUCUGUUUCGUUAUUCCAGUCCUUGGACAGGAAGAGUCCUUCUGUGUGGCUUUGAGCCUCAUGUCUGCUAUAGUAUUUAUCCUACCACCUGCAAGAUUUGCCACCAAGGUAAAAUCUGAGAAGAGAUGAAAGGAUGGUGCCACUUUACAGAGGUAGCAAAUCCUCUGAGGGAUGGAGUCAACUGUAAAAUGACAGAAAUGACAGUGGUCAGUGAAAGAAAUCUGGGACUUCUACACUUCAGGCAUUCAGUAAGGAAGAUGAAACAAACAGCACAGGGUGAAGUCUCAGUGAGAAGACCUUCCUGUGCCACAGAGAAGGACAGGACAUUGACAGCUUUGAGUUCUCAUGAAUUUUCAGCAGUGAGUCCAUCUGGGAAUAAUUUGUUUGUGAGAAGAAGGCUUCCAUUCUAUCAAGAAAAAAGGCUGCACGGAAUUCACAAAACACUAGAGCAGAAAGUACCAGUCAUUGUUUGA
RNAcentral lists this long non-coding RNA (568 nucleotides) under Apteryx rowi (Okarito brown kiwi). RNAcentral describes it as "lncRNA (ENSARWG00000005713.1)". Lineage: Eukaryota; Metazoa; Chordata; Aves; Apterygiformes; Apterygidae. The record is from RNAcentral.